Molecule: ribosomal RNA, 880 nt
Filed under: Aspergillus cejpii
Lineage: Eukaryota; Fungi; Ascomycota; Eurotiomycetes; Eurotiales; Aspergillaceae
Description: LSU rRNA
Rfam family: Eukaryotic large subunit ribosomal RNA
Source: RNAcentral
UUGCCCAGUAACGGCGAGUGAAGCGGCAAGAGCUCAAAUUUGAAAGCUGGCCCCCCCGGGGUCCGCGUUGUAAUUUGCAGAGGAUGCUUCGGAUGCGGCCCCCGUCUAAGUGCCCUGGAAGGGGCCGUCAUAGAGGGUGAGAAUCCCGUCUGGGACGGGGUGUCCGCGUCCGUGUGAAGCUCCUUCGACGAGUCGAGUUGUUUGGGAAUGCAGCUCUAAAUGGGUGGUAAAUUUCAUCUAAAGCUAAAUACUGGCCGGAGACCGAUAGCGCACAAGUAGAGUGAUCGAAAGAUGAAAAGCACUUUGAAAAGAGAGUUAAACAGCACGUGAAAUUGUUGAAAGGGAAGCGUUUGCGACCAGACUCGCCCGCGGGGUUCAGCCGGCACUCGUGCCGGUGUACUUCCCCGCGGGCGGGCCAGCGUCGGUUUGGGCGGCCGGUCAAAGGCCCUCGGAAUGUGUCACCCCCCGGGGUGUCUUAUAGCCGAGGGUGCAAUGCGGCCUGCCCGGACCGAGGAACGCGCUCCGGCUCGGACGCUGGCGUAAUGGUCGCAAAUGACCCGUCUUGAAACACGGACCAAGGAGUCUAACAUCUACGCGAGUGUUCGGGUGUCAAACCCGUACGCGCAGUGAAAGCGAACGGAGGUGGGAGCCCCCCCGGGGGCGCACCAUCGACCGAUCCUGAUGUCUUCGGAUGGAUUUGAGUACGAGCGUAGCUGUGGGGACUCCGAAAAGAUGGUGAACUAUGCCUGAAUAGGGCGAAGCCAGGAGGAAACUCUGGUGGAAGGCUCGCAGCGGUUCUGACGUGCAAAUCGAUCGUCGAAUUUGGGUAUAGGGGCGAAAAGACUAAUUCGAAACCAUCUAGUAGCUGGGUCUUGCGGAG